CAGGAGCUCGGGCUGCGGGGAAUCGGCACAAAAAUAAGACAGCAGGCUGGGGAGAAGGCCCCUCCCCAUACGAAAUCAUCCCUAAGAUUCCAAAGGCCUGGAAAACACCUCGCUAGGAGAAGCUUCAUGGAUCAGGCCAGGUCCAGCACCCAGACAGGCAGGGGCCAAGCAGGGCAGGGCUGGGCAGGCUGGGCCAGCACCAGCCUAGGAAGCCCCCUCUCCAAAGCCCCGUCCUGUGCCCCUCUGGCCCUGGGCUAGCAAGUCUGAGCAUCUGGGGUCAAGGCGGAUCGCUGGGGACCAGGCACCUGGAAUGAGACAGAGGGGCAGUGCUGUGUGGGCCUCCCCAGGGACAGAGCAUGGAGUGGGAGCUGCGCAUGGAGCCCCCGCUUGGGCAGCUCUGCAGGCCUCCAGGCCACCAAGGCAGCCAGCACAGUGGUCCUGGCAGGAGGGUGAGAGGGCGGCACAUUCCAGCCACAGCCCACCUCUCCUCCCAGGAUGCCUGGGGAGGUGCAGGAAGAGCCCUGUGGGGGCGGGGGUGGGAGCUCGGGCCAUCUUUGGAAAGAGGCUGUUAAGAGAAGGGAACAAGAUGGGGCUGCAGGCCAUUCCCUCCCCAUGACAAUGAGAGAGCUGCAGCCACAGUCCAUGCGGCCCCCUGUGCCUUCAGCCUCCAGCCUGCUGCGACUUUGAGGAUGAUGGCAGCUGAGGGUUCAUCGGGGCCAGGCUGUGUCCCAGGAGGCAUGGACUUGCUGGAGCUCAGCUGGUCAACUUCCAGGAGGCUCUGACCACCACCAAGUUCCAGCCAUGAGGGUCUCCUCCUCAGCCAGGGGCACCCAACCCCUUGGGAAAGGAAGGGCUAGGCAGCUCCCACACCCUCCUCACCCCAGGACGAGCCUGUAGAGAAGAGCAGCUGUGUUUUCAGCUAGAGCCAUGGGCAUGAAGGAUCCAGGGAAAGGGCUGUCCGGACAAGCCACCUGCAGUGCCCACGGCCCAGCCUGAGGCAGCUCACUCCCACCCCAGCCCCCGCCCAGGCCUGAGCCCACCGGCUGUUGGCCAGGCCCGAAUGGCCAAGAUCGAUGAGUGCCCAGCACACGAGCCUUGUUUACCAGGCCGUACUGUGUCUGCUCAGCAUCAGGGCCUCCCACUGAAGCCCUCCCACACCCUCACAUCCUUGCCUGCACCCUGUGCCCUGAACCUGCCAUGCACAGCCCUGGCCACCCCAGCACAUGGGGUCCAGUCUGAAGCAGUUGCCCAUGAGGGCUGCCCCAGGCUGAAGCCCAGGCCCACGCCACAGCUGAGGUGAGCGGGAUCUUCCACCAGGAAGCCCCAGCCUUCCAGAAGGGAGGUCUUGGAGCUCCAGGACAGCACCCCAGGACUGCCAGCACUCACAAAGCAGCAAGGGGGAGGAGCUCACUGGGUUCCCAAGGGCUGCGGGAGGGUGAAGAGGUGACCCAGUUGUGGGGCAGGGGGAGUUUGGCUGGCAUGGCCACCUCAGGCCCUGCAGGCCACCCUGAUCACCUGGGGAACCCAGGUCCCCGAGUGUGGGCCAAGGGGCAAGGGGGGUGAUGCUCACCAUGAUGGUCCCAGGUGCUCACUGCUGCAGGGACAGAGGAAGUGAGCCUGGACAUGGGACUCAGCCAGCUGGGGUCCUCAUGGCAGUGUGGGGCAGCCUGGGGGCCAGGCCUGUCCAACUCCUGGUUGUCAGGGGACGUCAGGGCCUAACGGGCUAUGGGAGAGCCUGGCCUGGGGCUGGGGAUGGCAGAGCUCUGAGUGUAGGAGCUGCUGCCCAAUCCAGCAAGCUGGACCAUGGACAACAGGUGGAGGUCCCUGCAGGGAGCGUGGCAGGAAGGGGUGUGCAGACAGGUGCUCUCCCACAGGGAGUGUGGCAGGAAGGGGUGUGCAGACAGGUGCUCUCCCGCAGGGAGCGUGGCAGGAAGGGGUGUGCAGACAGGUGCACCCCCUCAGGGAGCGUGGCAGGAAGGGGUGUGCAGACAGGUGCACCCCCGCAGGGAGCGUGGCAGGAAGGGGUGUGCAGACAGGUGCACCCCCGCAGGGAGCAUGGCGGGAAGGGGUGUGCAGACAGGUGCACCCCCGCAGGGAGCGUGGCAGGAAGGGGUGUGCAGACAGGUGCAUCCCCGCAGGGAGCAUGGCAGGAAGGGGUGUGCAGACAGGUGCUCCCCUGGAGGGAGUGUGGCAGGAGGGGGUGUGCAGACAGGUGCUCCCCUGGAGGGAGCGUGGCAGGAAGGGGUGUGCAGACAGGUGCUGCCCUGCAGCUAAGCCUGACUUCCCUGCUUGCCCUGGAGCCUGGCGGGGUUCUGGAGACCAGGAGCCACCACACAGUCCUAGGCCACUUCUACUUUGGGGCAGUAAGUGAAAUUUAGAGCUCUUCACACCAGUCUGUGGCCCAGUCAGGGCAAGGUGGGGCCCACCCUGCCAACCGUGGCUGCAGACACCCAGAGCUCAGAGCCGUGGCUGGGGCUUGGGGUCUUGAAUGUGAAGAUGCGGCCGGCCUGGCAGGGCCUCAGCUGGUGCCUGGCACCGUCCCGGGCCCUGGCCUAGGUGCUCGGUGGACUGCUCCUUCCUAGUGCCAGGUCCACUUGCAGCUCCUGGGAGCUGCCCCGGGAGCUCAGCCCUGGGUGCCCCUGGCUCUCCCAGCUCAGUGUUUCACUAUGAUCAAUCAGGGUAUCGCCAGGAAGGGUCAGGGCUGCCACCUCCCUGGGCCACCUGGACCGAAAGCUGGGAGAGGCUGCCACAGACCACCUGGGUAGGUGGUCCACAGGGGCCCUGUCUCACCCUGGGCCAGGUCUACAGCCUGUGUUUAGUCUGGGGUGGCGUGGGGUGGGGGGCUUUGCUGCUUCACUGCACCCCACAUGAGCCCUGUUGGGAGGGCUGCCAGAUGCAGGGAGACGCAGAGGCGCAGGUACACAUUGCUCCACCAGCCAGACCCAGAGCUUCCUAGUGGGGACCAGUCUGGAGCUUGAAAUCCCAGCCAUCGCUCAAGGGGUUUCACUUGUGCCAACACCUUUCUUUUGGAGGGGGUGUGUUGGGGGUGUCCAGUGACAGGGUUAAUCCCCACAGUCCAUGAGGCCAGUGAUGUCAUGGGCUCCUGGGGCCCAUGGCACUGAGACCAGGUCCAGCACGAAUUCACCUGCCCUUCCUUCAGUGCCUUCUAACACCACCCAGACACCACAGCCAGGCUGGAAGGACAGCACACCCCAGCCACUCAGGAGCCACUUCGGACAGCCCACCUAGGGGCUUAAGUCCCAGUGGGACAUGCCCACCCAGGCUGCCUCAGCUGCCCACGGGGCCUCCAACCACAGCCACAGGCUCCACAGGAAAACCCGACACGAUGACUGCCCCUCGCAGGCCACAGUCAGCCCGGCCCCAGGAGAGAGACCCGUGGAGCCCUAUGUCUCAGCAGGCAAGACCACCCUGGCCUGCCAUGCCUCCAUCCUAUGCCUAUAAAAACCCAAGACCCUAGCAAGGCAGAGACAGAAGCCUCUGGGUGGCGAGAGGAACACACUGGUGGAAGAAGACAAGCCGCUGGACAUCCCGAGAAUGUUGCCUGACUCCAGGGGAAAACCAUCUCCCUUCUGGCUCCCCCAUCUGCUGAGAGCUACUUCCACUCAAUAAAACCUUGCACUCAUUCUCCAA
Long non-coding RNA from Pan troglodytes (chimpanzee), 3651 nucleotides. RefSeq lists it as uncharacterized. Lineage: Eukaryota; Metazoa; Chordata; Mammalia; Primates; Hominidae. The transcript has 3 exons. The record is from RefSeq and is a predicted model, not a curated record.